ACACCUGGGCUGCAUUUCUGGGAGCUGGUCUGAAGUCACAGCAGGAAGAACAUUGUCACCUUUCAAACCUGGCUGUUACUCAGCACACAAAAGCCAGAAUGUAUUGGGGGACUUGCAGAGAAGGACUCGCCUGCUUCAUCACAGGGGCAGGUUAAAGGACUGGGGGAAAACAAAGCAAGAUCAGAUCAAACAAAACACACAGCAAAGAAGCAGCAACAGUCACACCAUGGUAUGAGGCCAGCAAAGUGAUUCAGCAUGGUAAUGUGUGCAGCUGAACUUCCUUUAUAGAAUGUCUUCUCUCUCCUUCAAAUCCUGUUCUCUAAUUUAAACAUACAUUGAUAAGGGCAGUUUCGAAGAGUUGAGAAAAGAAGAAGCCAUCCUGGAACAUUGGAGUUAACUGGGCACUGUGGAAGUCCCAUGGCUCCGUGGGUGAACACACAGCAGCACAGCUGUUGCCUCUCAAUCAGGGACUGUUGCUGUAUUUAUUGACUGAAUCAAAGUGCUUCUGUGUCGGGAAUAAACCAGAACACAACGUGUUCCUGGGAGAACGAGGCAGUGAAAAUACAAGAGCAACAAGGCGCAUGUCUCCAUAUUACAAGAUCAGUGACGUCAGAAUGGACGGUGCCUAUGGAGAAGUACUAAGGUGACGCUCAACCACUCAACUGUACAGGAUGCAGAGGAAGAGGAGGAGAAGAGAGGGAGGAGGAAUGUCUCACUUCCUCUGUUCUCUUGUUCUUGGGUUAGUUGGUUUUUGGUAAAGUUUGCCAGUUCAGGUCACCUUGUUUCGUUAUUUAUUAGUCUCAUUCCAAAGGAGAAAAUUAAUACUUGUUCAGGAAAGUGGCAUAAAAUUAAAGAAUGCUCAGAAGUGUGCUAAGCUUCUUCAGGGAUAAAAGGAAUUUUCUGGGUUUUCAAUUUCCGUUUUCUACCUAUGAAUGAUGGUGAGUGGGCCCUGUAAGAGUUCUACAGUCGAUGUAGAGAGAAACAACAGCAGGAGGCAGAGGACGGCUUCCCUAUGUUCCUCACCCUUCGGAUUGCCAGCCUCUGGAGGGGUCAUUUGCUCCUCUGAUUAUGUCUCAAGUGCAGCAUCCCUGGCCUUCCCAUCCCUACCCAGGUUCAAGGGAUGGAGACAGAAGGUUCCAGAUGCAGCUCACCUUCAGCCACACCGGAGUUUCUGCAGAAAGAGCUGACCACGCUGUGAACUAGAACCCCAGAAUCUAAAUUGAAGAAAGUUUUCAACAGUCAAUUUUGGAACGGGCUGCAUCUAUAUUGUUUGCUUCAAAAACAAGGAAUUGGGUUAGGGUUAUAUGGAAUAAUCUCUUUGAAUCUUCCAACCCGGAGGCUGAAUUUUAUAUAUAAUGAUUCUUGUUGGAAUACAUUAUGUAAAGACGUGUCUCUGUAUAUUCAAUUGUUAAUUCUGUCCCGGCAGAGAUCUAAGUGCUGGCAGGAUUCUGGUGCUGUCAUUCCUAAGGCCCAUCACCAGGUUUUCUAUUGUGUAACUAGUCCUUCUUCAUUUGCCUUCUUCAUUCUUCAAGGCAAUCUAGAAUUGUAUCUAAUUGACUGUAAUAAAGAUCUGAUGGCCAAUAGCUGGGCAGGAAGUGAAGGGCUCACCUUCUGGCAGAGAGAGGGACUUUGGGAGAAGAAUUAGAGGCAGGAGACUCAGCCCUCUGACGAUGAGGUGACCACGUGGACCAGAGCCAAACAGAAUGGCGGGGCUGGACACGUGAUAGGACACAGUGCCAGGAUUGGUUGGGUUAGAGUAGCCCAACAGAAGGCCCAAGCUUUAAGCCUCUGUGUCACUAUUUAAAUUACUGAUGAGUCCAAGAUAGCCCCACCAUAGACUCUUUUUAGAGGCUUCUACGUUGGUUUUGUAGAGAAAACUUCUUGUAACAUCACCUGUCAAUAAUAAUAAAAGCCAGUGACCAAUGAGCUGAGGCAGGAAAUAGGUACAACACUGGCAGGAAGAGAGAGGAUUCAGGGAAAUAGUAAGAGAUAAAAGACUCCGUGAGAGAGCCCCGAAAGAUGGAGGGAGGGAGAGGAGACUGGCAUAAUGAAUUAAAUGAACUCAGGGAGACGGGAAGGAAGAAGCAGACAGGGAUAGAAGGAGAUGUAACUAACCAAAUGGUAGACAUUGGAUAGUUGGAAUGGGUUAAAUAAGUUAGGAGCUAGGCAGGGACUGAGCCAAAGCUCAUAGUCUAGGCAUUUAAGAAUAACUAACCAGUCUCAGGGUCCCCAUUCCAGGAGCAGGACUGGAAACGGAAAACCAGAUAUGAUCUUUUAACCAGUUUUUAUUGCAGAUACAUCUGUACUGCCUGCCACUACUGUCUGCUGCUGCUUAUGAAUAGUUUUGCACAUUAGUGUGUGCUUAGAUGGGAAGGCUUCCACUAAGCCUUCCCAGGCUCUCUGACCACACCCACUUUCAUCCAAGGAGAGUUUGAUGUUUUUGAUAUCUUUGCUCCCACAUUCAGAAAGCUCUCCCUAGGAUUCUACCACACACAUCUGCCUGCUUGUUUCCGUGCUGGCUUUUGCAGUACGUAGGGCCUGGCACAUGUUAGAGCAGUCCUGUCUGACAAUAUAAAAACUGCGAACAUAGUAGAAAGAGAACUCAAGACACUGGAGAGAGAUGGAAAGUGGUGUGGAGCAUAGAAACUGAAUUAAAAGCCCAGAAUUAUUCCUGACAGAAGAGCAAAUUCCUAAUGAUGGGAGCAGGAUAUGGCUUCCCUGAGGGACAAUGGGGAAGGACCAUCCCAACAGCUGAGAAUAGAACAGAAAAGCAAUAGUGUCCACUGGAUGGAUGAGGUCACGUUGGAUGGUGUAUUUGAGUCCAUUUUAAGUUUCUGCAGAACAUCACACAAAGGUCUGGGUUAUUUUUAUGUUCCCUUGACAUUCCCAUGGUUCUGAAACUGGACCUCAUGGGGCCUGGUGUGUAGCUCAGUGGCAGAGCACAUGUUUAACUUGCAUGCAACCUGGUGUCUGUUCUCAGCACUGGCUGAUUUAAUAAUAAAAUAAAAAGUGGUUAAUAAGGGUAAAGGUGACAACUACUGAGAUUUUUUAAA
This is a long non-coding RNA of Mus musculus (house mouse), 3053 nucleotides long. RefSeq annotates it as predicted gene, 30633. The record is from RefSeq and is a predicted model, not a curated record. NCBI's taxonomy places the organism in Eukaryota, Metazoa, Chordata, Mammalia, Rodentia, Muridae. The transcript has 3 exons.